Molecule: transfer RNA, 87 nt
Filed under: Pseudomonas carnis
Lineage: Bacteria; Pseudomonadati; Pseudomonadota; Gammaproteobacteria; Pseudomonadales; Pseudomonadaceae
Description: tRNA-Leu
Rfam family: tRNA
About the family: Transfer RNA (tRNA) molecules are approximately 80 nucleotides in length. Their secondary structure includes four short double-helical elements and three loops (D, anti-codon, and T loops).
Source: RNAcentral
GCCCAGGUGGUGAAAUUGGUAGACACGCCAGCUUCAGGUGCUGGUGAUCGCAAGGUCGUGGAAGUUCGAGUCUUCUCCGGGGCACCA